RNAcentral lists this ribosomal RNA (449 nucleotides) under uncultured bacterium. RNAcentral describes it as "bacterial SSU rRNA". It matches the Rfam family "Bacterial small subunit ribosomal RNA", at positions 343 to 784 of the family's 1533-position model. The record is from RNAcentral.
UAAAGGCAGCAGUGGGGAAUAUUGCACAAUGGGCGCAAGCCUGAUGCAGCCAUGCCGCGUGUAUGAAGAAGGCCUUCGGGUUGUAAAGUACUUUCAGUCGUGAGGAAGGUGUUAAGGUUAAUAACCUUAGCAAUUGACGUUAGCGACAGAAGAAGCACCGGCUAACUCCGUGCCAGCAGCCGCGGUAAUACGGAGGGUGCGAGCGUUAAUCGGAAUUACUGGGCGUAAAGGGCACGCAGGCGGUUAAUUAAGUUGGAUGUGAAAUCCCCGGGCUUAACCUGGGAAUGGCAUUCAAGACUGGUUAGCUAGAGUCUUGUAGAGGGGGUUAGAAUUCCAUGUGUAGCGGUGAAAUGCGUAGAGAUGUGGAGGAAUACCGGUGGCGAAGGCGGCCCCUGGACAAAGACUGACGCUCAUGUGCGAAAGCGUGGGGAGCAAACAGGGAUUAGAUA